Molecule: transfer RNA, 67 nt
Filed under: Anopheles nimbus
Lineage: Eukaryota; Metazoa; Arthropoda; Insecta; Diptera; Culicidae
Description: tRNA-Ile
Source: RNAcentral
AAUGAAUUGCCUGAUAAAAGGAUUACUUUGAUAGAGUAAAUCAUGAAAUUUUAUAUUUCAUUCAUUA